RNAcentral lists this ribosomal RNA (94 nucleotides) under Pseudoalteromonas sp. P1-26. Lineage: Bacteria; Pseudomonadati; Pseudomonadota; Gammaproteobacteria; Alteromonadales; Pseudoalteromonadaceae. The record is from RNAcentral.
ACCCACCUGACCCCAUGCCGAACUCAGUAGUGAAACGAAACAGCGCCGAUGAUAGUGUAGCAGCUGCUAUGUGAAAGUAGGUCAUCGCCGGGCU